GUCCACGCCCUAAACGAUGUCAACUGGUUGUCGGGGAAGCAAUUCCUUGGUAACGAAGCUAACGCGUGAAGUUGACCGCCUGGGGAGUACGGCCGCAAGGUUAAAACUCAAAGGAAUUGACGGGGACCCGCACAAGCGGUGGAUUAUGUGGAUUAAUUCGAUGCAACGCGAAAAACCUUACCUACCCUUGACAUGUACGGAACCUCGCAGAAAUGCGAGGGUGCCCGAAAGGGAACCGUAACACAGGUGCUGCAUGGCUGUCGU
RNAcentral lists this ribosomal RNA (264 nucleotides) under uncultured bacterium. Its description in RNAcentral is "partial 16S ribosomal RNA". It matches the Rfam family "Bacterial small subunit ribosomal RNA", at positions 793 to 1055 of the family's 1533-position model. The record is from RNAcentral.